GAUGAAGAACGCAGCGAAAUGCGAUAAGUAAUGUGAAUUGCAGAAUUCAGUGAAUCAUCGAAUCUUUGAACGCACCUUGCACCCUUUGGCAUUCCGAAGGGUAUGCUCGUUUGAGUGUCAUUGUACUCUCACACUUCCAAUCUUUGGAUUGGGAGCGGUGGACUUGGGUGUUGCUGCUUACUGUGGCUCACCUCAAAUCGAUUCGUGCACCUCUUGGUUGGACAUAGUACGGCGUGAUAAGUGUCUUCGCCGGCACCUCAGUAGAGGGUGGCUGAUCAGGAGCUCUGUGCUUCAAACCGUCCUCGGACAACAACUGACAACUUGACCUCAAAUCGAGUAGGACUACCCGCUGAACUUAAGCAUAUCAAUAAGCGGAGG
Molecule: unclassified non-coding RNA, 378 nt
Filed under: soil metagenome
Description: partial contains 5.8S ribosomal RNA, internal transcribed spacer 2, and large subunit ribosomal RNA
Rfam family: 5.8S ribosomal RNA (bases 1-120)
Source: RNAcentral